UACGGAGGGUGCAAGCGUUGUUCGGAUUUACUGGGCGUAAAGGGCGCGUAGGCGGUCAGCACAAGUCAGUUGUGAAAUCUCCGAGCUUAACUCGGAAAGGUCAACUGAUACUGUGCGACUAGAGUGCGGAAGGGGCAACUGGAAUUCUUGGUGUAGCGGUGAAAUGCGUAGAUAUCAAGAGGAACACCUGCGGCGAAGGCGGGUUGCUGGGCCGACACUGACGCUGAGGCGCGAAAGCUAGGGGAGCGAACGGG
Molecule: ribosomal RNA, 254 nt
Filed under: uncultured bacterium
Lineage: Bacteria
Description: partial 16S ribosomal RNA
Rfam family: Bacterial small subunit ribosomal RNA
Source: RNAcentral